RNAcentral lists this ribosomal RNA (492 nucleotides) under uncultured bacterium. RNAcentral's name for it is "partial 16S ribosomal RNA". It matches the Rfam family "Bacterial small subunit ribosomal RNA", at positions 29 to 507 of the family's 1533-position model. The record is from RNAcentral.
AGUGAACGCUGGCGGUAGGCCUAACACAUGCAAGUCGAACGGCAGCACAGUAAGAGCUUGCUCUUACGGGUGGCGAGUGGCGGACGGGUGAGGAAUACAUCGGAAUCUACUUUUUCGUGGGGGAUAACGUAGGGAAACUUACGCUAAUACCGCAUACGACCUACGGGUGAAAGCAGGGGAUCUUCGGACCUUGCGCGAUUGAAUGAGCCGAUGUCGGAUUAGCUAGUUGGCGGGGUAAAGGCCCACCAAGGCGACGAUCCGUAGCUGGUCUGAGAGGAUGAUCAGCCACACUGGAACUGAGACACGGUCCAGACUCCUACGGGAGGCAGCAGUGGGGAAUAUUGGACAGUGGGCGCAAGCCUGAUCCAGCCAUACCGCGUGGGUGAAGAAGGCCUUCGGGGUGUAAAGCCCUUUUGUUGGGAAAGAAAAGCAGCAGGUUAAUACCCCGCUGUUCUGACGGUACCCAAAGAAUAAGCACCGGCUAACUUCGUG